Molecule: transfer RNA, 72 nt
Filed under: Camelus bactrianus (Bactrian camel)
Lineage: Eukaryota; Metazoa; Chordata; Mammalia; Artiodactyla; Camelidae
Also listed under: 2 other names
Rfam family: tRNA
About the family: Transfer RNA (tRNA) molecules are approximately 80 nucleotides in length. Their secondary structure includes four short double-helical elements and three loops (D, anti-codon, and T loops).
Source: Rfam by way of RNAcentral
GUAGAUACUGCUCAGCGGUAAAGAGCGUGUUUAGCAUGCACGAGGUCCUGGGUUCAAUCCCCAGUACCUCCA